CCUCCCACGACCUGAAGAACGGGUGUGAGAGUGGAAAGUUCACACUGUGACGGUAGCUUACCAGAAAGGGACGGCUAACUACGUGCCAGGCAGCCGCGGUAAUACGUAGGUCCCGAGCCGUUGUCCGGAUUUAUUGGGCGUUAAAGCGAGCGCAGGCGGUUUGAUAAGUCUGAAGUUAAAGGCUGUGGCUCAACCAUAGUUCGCUUUGGAAACUGUCAAACUUGAGUGCACACAGGGAUGCUGGAAUUCAUGGUGUAGCGGUGAAAUGCUCAGAUAUCAUGAAGAACUCCGAUCGCGAAGGCAGGUAUCCGGGGUGCAACUGACGCUGAGGCUCGAAAGUGCGGGUAAUCAAACAGGAUUAGAUACCUGGUAGUCCGCACAGUAA
This 385-nucleotide ribosomal RNA is filed under the name uncultured bacterium. Its description in RNAcentral is "bacterial SSU rRNA". It matches the Rfam family "Bacterial small subunit ribosomal RNA", at positions 414 to 805 of the family's 1533-position model. The record is from RNAcentral.